RNAcentral lists this transfer RNA (73 nucleotides) under Neotoma lepida (desert woodrat). It matches the Rfam family "tRNA". From Rfam's summary of the family: Transfer RNA (tRNA) molecules are approximately 80 nucleotides in length. Their secondary structure includes four short double-helical elements and three loops (D, anti-codon, and T loops). Further hydrogen bonds mediate the characteristic L-shaped molecular structure. tRNAs have two regions of fundamental functional importance: the anti-codon, which is responsible for specific mRNA codon recognition, and the 3' end, to which the tRNAs corresponding amino acid is attached (by aminoacyl-tRNA synthetases). tRNAs cope with the degeneracy of the genetic code in two manners: having more than one tRNA (with a specific anti-codon) for a particular amino acid; and 'wobble' base-pairing, i.e. permitting non-standard base-pairing at the 3rd anti-codon position. The record is from Rfam by way of RNAcentral. Lineage: Eukaryota; Metazoa; Chordata; Mammalia; Rodentia; Cricetidae.
GGAGAGGUGGCUCAGAGGUUAAGAGCGCUGGCUGCUCUUCCAGAGGUCCUGAGUUCAAUUCCCAGCAUCCACA